Molecule: long non-coding RNA, 277 nt
Filed under: Populus tremula
Lineage: Eukaryota; Viridiplantae; Streptophyta; Magnoliopsida; Malpighiales; Salicaceae
Description: long non-coding RNA (PTRE_LNC000425)
Source: RNAcentral
CACCUAACACCUAUUAUCAAAUAAGAAAGAAAAAAAUGCGGGGGAGAAUGGCCGUCCCCAGUGACUGAAGACAUUGUCGACCAAUUGUCAGAAGUUAAAAUGAAUGGUCACAAAGAAUCUUGGCUUGGUUGGCUUCACCUUGAUGCCUAGAAACUUUUGGCUUCUUCACUCUGUUUUCUCUGGUCCACAGAGCUUGGGAUCUGUUUGAUAAUAUAAAACAUCCCCAGCGUCACUAACAUAGUGAUCUUGUUUCAUGCUUCUUAUAAGUGUUCCCAGC